GGCUGGUCUGAGUGCAGUAGUGUAUACAGCUAACUGAUUACAACUAGUUACAGAUUUCUUUGUUUCUUCACUCCCACUGCUUCACCUGACUAGCUUUAA
Callithrix jacchus (white-tufted-ear marmoset) is the source of this 99-nucleotide Y RNA. It matches the Rfam family "Y RNA". From Rfam's summary of the family: Y RNAs are components of the Ro ribonucleoprotein particle (Ro RNP), in association with Ro60 and La proteins. Lineage: Eukaryota; Metazoa; Chordata; Mammalia; Primates; Cebidae. The record is from Ensembl.